This 252-nucleotide ribosomal RNA is filed under the name uncultured bacterium. RNAcentral's name for it is "partial 16S ribosomal RNA". It matches the Rfam family "Bacterial small subunit ribosomal RNA", at positions 524 to 776 of the family's 1533-position model. The record is from RNAcentral.
UACGGGGGGGGUAAGCGUUGUUCGGAAUUACUGGGCGUAAGGGCUCGUAGGCGGCCAACUAAGUCGGACGUGAAAUCCCUCAGCUUAACUGGGGAACUGCGUCCGAUACUGGAUGGCUUGGAUUUGGGAGAGGGAUGCGGAAUUCCAGGUGUAGCGGUGAAAUGCGUAGAUAUCUGGAGGAACACCGGUGGCGAAGGCGGCAUCCUGGACCAAUAUUGACGCUGAGGAGCGAAAGCCAGGGGAGCAAACGGG